Molecule: ribosomal RNA, 253 nt
Filed under: uncultured bacterium
Lineage: Bacteria
Description: partial 16S ribosomal RNA
Rfam family: Bacterial small subunit ribosomal RNA
Source: RNAcentral
UACGUAGGGUGCGAGCGUUAAUCGGAAUUACUGGGCGUAAAGCGUGCGCAGGCGGUUUUGGAAGCCAGAUGUGAAAUCCCCGGGCUCAACCUGGGAAUGGCAUUUGGGACUGCAAGGCUGGAGUGUGGCAGAGGAGACUGGAAUUCCUGGUGUAGCAGUGAAAUGCGUAGAUAUCAGGAGGAAUACCGAUGGCGAAAGCGGCGCACUGGACCACAACUGACGCUGAGGCGCGAAAGCUAGGGGAGCAAGCAGG